RNAcentral lists this ribosomal RNA (301 nucleotides) under uncultured bacterium. RNAcentral describes it as "partial 16S ribosomal RNA". It matches the Rfam family "Bacterial small subunit ribosomal RNA", at positions 509 to 807 of the family's 1533-position model. The record is from RNAcentral.
CAGCCGCCGCGGGAAUACGAAGGGUGCAAGCGUUAAUCGGAAUUACUGGGCGUAAAGCGCACGCAGGCGGUCUGUCAAGUCAGAUGUGAAAUCCCCGGGCUUAACCUGGGAACUGCAUUUGAAACUGGCAGGCUAGAGUCUUGCAGAGGGGGGUAGAAUUCCAGGUGUAGCGGUGAAAUGCGUAGAGAUCUGGAGGAAUACCGGUGGCGAAGGCGGCCCCCUGGACAAAGACUGACGCUCAGGUGCGAAAGCGUGGGGAGCAAACAGGAUUAGAUACCCCUGUAGUCCCUGUCUCUUAUAC